CGUCUACAGCGUUUGAAUUUCUUAGGCGGGACGAUGGUAUAUUUUUUUUUUAAAAAUUAAUUCAAAAUUAUUGUUACUUUUUUGGAUUAUAAAGCAAAAUAGUAAAAACAAUUAAAUAUAUUAAUUGUUAGUCAAAUCGAAAUUCGUACGAUGAGAACUAAACAAUUUCCACUGUAUAAACUCCGGAAGAGGCGAAGAUUUAGACCAGGUGCCUUUAUUAAGUACAAGCGUUUAGUGCCCGUGGCACCAGCUAAAAAAUGUGUUUGUACUAGGUGUAAGACGGAUUAUCGCAGAAAAGAUUAUUUGCAUUUUAUUAACCGAUAUUUACCACACUUGUAUUUAUCUCUAUAUCAACGUUUAUAGACGUUGAUAUCUCUGUUUUGGACAUUAAAUACAUUGAAGCUGAUAAUCUCUAUGCUUGGUUGAAUUAAAUUAAUAUACCACCAUGACUAUAUAGAGACAAUAUAUUUUUAAAUCCGUUGUUAAUAUUAAGACAAGAAGGUAAAAUUUUUUUAAAAACCGAAAGUGGAGAAGACUGGACAA
Teleopsis dalmanni is the source of this 543-nucleotide long non-coding RNA. RefSeq lists it as uncharacterized. NCBI's taxonomy places the organism in Eukaryota, Metazoa, Arthropoda, Insecta, Diptera, Diopsidae. The transcript is spliced from 3 exons. The record is from RefSeq and is a predicted model, not a curated record.